CGGUCUGUAGUUUAAUUGGCAAAACAUAG
This 29-nucleotide transfer RNA is filed under the name Ascophyllum nodosum. Its description in RNAcentral is "partial tRNA-Ile". The record is from RNAcentral. Lineage: Eukaryota; Phaeophyceae; Fucales; Fucaceae.